This 1086-nucleotide long non-coding RNA is filed under the name Parus major (Great Tit). Its description in RNAcentral is "lncRNA (ENSPMJG00000011776.1)". Lineage: Eukaryota; Metazoa; Chordata; Aves; Passeriformes; Paridae. The record is from RNAcentral.
UGCCACAUUAAAUCAAAAUACUUUUGUUAAAAAAUGGUUUAAAAUAGCUAAUGAAUUUUCUGGAAAAAGAUGUGACUAGUUUUCACCUUGUCGAGCAUUUUUUCACUAGUGCAACUUUGGAAUUUUUAUGAGAAUUUUGGUACGUUAAUGACCACCUCGCUCCGUGCCGGAAGCAAUAAACACAAAGCUUUUAAAGAAUUUCUGACUUGACUAAUUGAGGUCGCUUUCGUCAGAGGCAGAGGAUGUGUAACCCUUAAAACGGUCUUCAUUUGCAAAGGAAACUCACCUCUUUGGACAGCCAAGAGAACAAAAACCCUGAUCUUCUGAUACUUUGGAGCUUCUGCCAUGUUAAUUACGGACUGCUUAGAGCACUGUACUUUACCCUGUGCUCAGACACUGACGAGACCGAGUCUGAAAAUCCUGCUCUGCAUUUCUUGUAUGAAAGCCUUAAAGUGUAUAACAACAUACACUUUUUAAAACAAUUGUAUAUUGAAACUCUUAACUGUAUAGUGAUGCAACAAUGUUUUAUUUGGAGCUCAAUAAAGAAUUUCCAUCUAAGUUCCUGUUACAAAGCAAUAACGCAACCUCCUGUUCUUUAGUGACUCUUCUUAGCCUUAUGCAGCAAGUGUAAGAGAGUGUGUGAGGUCUCAUGACUUAAAUGCUUUUGGAAAUAGCUUGUCUAAUGUAUGAAUGACAUGGAUAAGUUAAAAUGAAGAUUGGUGUUUUCUCCUGAAGCUUUUCUUAAUAGCUAAUUGUAAACAAGUCUGCUCCAGACAAGACUCUUGGGUAGAAAUAAUGCUCCAACUUCCAUUUCCUUCUAAAACUUGUAUAACAAGAUGUUUAAUCCCUGUCAGUAAUACUAUGCUGCUUAUUCUCUUUCACUUGGUGUUUGAUGCAUAGAAAUGUUUUCUCUAAUUCACAGUCACAGGUUUUCUAGUAGUAGAGUCUUGGAUAAGGCUUUUACACCUUGAUAAAUCUUGUAUCCAACAGUCAUGUUUCCUCAGUGCUUUCUGUUUUAUAUUAAUUGUGAUUGUGAUAAUUUGUAACAGAAAUAAAGUUCUGAUAAUUUAUUUACUUGUGUUCUUU